AAAGCCGCAGAUCGCUCCACCGCUGUGCGCAGCCCCCUGCUGAGGGGCCAGCGGCUCUCCCUGGGGAGGGAGACAAUUUUCAAUGUCAUUUUCCUCUAACUGUAUGGUCUCUCUCACAGGUAUACAAGGACCCCAGAACCUUAACACAAUUCUGAGGUGGAAGAAAUGGGGAACACCAGGCCUGGCCUCAUGGAGACCGGGGAGUCAGAACCUGAGGUCUGGCUCCUGGAGCUGCUGCGAGUGAGUGGUGGAAACCUGCCCCCUUAGAGAAGCUGCAGCUGAUCAGCAUCAUGCAAGGGACUGCUGAGAUGGUAGCAUGCUGGUAAUGAAGUGUUAUGGAGCCACUCCAUCCUUUAUUCAUCCUUUUCCUCAUACACACAGAGAGCAAAGGACAGGAACCAGCUACAGAAUUUGCAAGUGGAGAAUCCAGGUACCUUUAAAAGUCUAUUUAGUGAAAAUCUCUGGCUAUUGAUGUGACGGUUAAUUUUAUGUGCCAACUUGGCUAGGCCAUGGUACCCAGUUUUUCAUAAAAGAUCAGUCUAGAUGUUGUGAAGGUAUAUUUUUAAAUGUGAUUAACAUUUUAUUCAGUGGACUUCAAGUAAAGCAGAUUAUCCUCCAUAUAGUGGGUGGGCCUUCUCCAAUCAGGCCUUAAGAGCAAAGACCAUGGUUUCUCAAAGAAAGAAUUUUCCUCAAGACUGCAACAUAGAGACCUUGCCUGAGUUUCCAGCCUGAUACCCUGAAGAAUUUGGACUCAAGACUGCAAUAUCAG
This 769-nucleotide long non-coding RNA is filed under the name Homo sapiens (human). Its description in RNAcentral is "HSALNT0107568". Lineage: Eukaryota; Metazoa; Chordata; Mammalia; Primates; Hominidae. The record is from RNAcentral.